AUACAUGGCCGACGCGAGUCAAAGUGUAGUAUCUGCUCUGAUCAGUUUAAUAACUGAUGCGAGCUUUAUUUAGACGUAAGAUAUUACGCUUAUUUUUGCAAGUUGACGGAGUGCUUGAAGCCUGCGUCACCUCCACCGCGGGUCAGCCUGGUAUUGCACUAUCUUCAGGAUCGGCCCAUGGUUC
Dermacentor albipictus is the source of this 184-nucleotide small nuclear RNA. RefSeq annotates it as U2 spliceosomal RNA. NCBI's taxonomy places the organism in Eukaryota, Metazoa, Arthropoda, Arachnida, Ixodida, Ixodidae. The record is from RefSeq and is a predicted model, not a curated record.